RNAcentral lists this ribosomal RNA (254 nucleotides) under uncultured bacterium. RNAcentral describes it as "partial 16S ribosomal RNA". It matches the Rfam family "Bacterial small subunit ribosomal RNA", at positions 524 to 776 of the family's 1533-position model. The record is from RNAcentral.
UACGUAGGGCGCAAGCGUUGUCCGGAAUUAUUGGGCGUAAAGAGCUCGUAGGCGGCCUGUCGCGUCCGCUGUGAAAUCCCGGGGCUUAACCCCGGGCGUGCAGUGGAUACGGGCUGGCUGGAGGCAGGCAGGGGAGAACGGAAUUCCCGGUGGUAGCGGUGAAAUGCGCAGAUAUCGGGAGGAACACCGGUGGCGAAGGCGGUUCUCUGGGCCUGUACUGACGCUGAGGAGCGAAAGCGUGGGGAGCGAACAGG